This 613-nucleotide ribosomal RNA is filed under the name uncultured fungus. RNAcentral describes it as "eukaryotic LSU rRNA". The stretch from base 226 to 379 matches the Rfam family "5.8S ribosomal RNA". The record is from RNAcentral. Lineage: Eukaryota; Fungi.
AGUAAAAGUCGUAACAAGGUCUCCGUUGGUGAACCAGCGGAGGGAUCAUUACUGAGUUUUCUAAACUCCCAAACCCUUGAGAACAUACCUUUGUUGCCUCGGCGGAAGCGCCGCCCUGGGAUGGCCUACCCUGUAGCGCCUUACCCUGGACGGCGCCCCCCGCCGGUGGUCUUCUAAACUCUGUUUUAUCGUGUCACUUCUGAGGAUUAUUAUAAAAUUAGUUAAAACUUUCAACAACGGAUCUCUUGGUUCUGGCAUCGAUGAAGAACGCAGCGAAAUGCGAUAAGUAAUGUGAAUUGCAGAAUUCAGUGAAUCAUCGAAUCUUUGAACGCACAUUGCGCCCAUUAGUAUUCUAGUGGGCAUGCCUGUUCGAGCGUCAUUUCAACCCAUCAAGCCCUAUUUUUUGCUUGGCGUUGGGAGAACGCGGGGCCCUGGAGCCCCGCGCCUCCUCAAAUCCAUCGGCGGAGUCGUAGCGACCCAAGCGUAGUAAUUCUUUCUCGCUUCAGGUGUUUUGCUGCUGGCGUCUAGCCGCUAAACCCCCUAUUCUUUUUAGGUUUGACCUCGGAUCAGGUAGGAAUACCCGCUGAACUUAAGCAUAUCAAUAAGCGGAGGA